Long non-coding RNA from Raphanus sativus (radish), 630 nucleotides. RefSeq lists it as uncharacterized. NCBI's taxonomy places the organism in Eukaryota, Viridiplantae, Streptophyta, Magnoliopsida, Brassicales, Brassicaceae. The transcript has 2 exons. The record is from RefSeq and is a predicted model, not a curated record.
UCUAAAACCCAGAGAUCAAUCAACAUAUUCGUAUAAAAAGCAUCUAUCUUUAAUCAAUAUAUUCCAUCCCAAAUUCAAUUAAAAAUCACCAUAUAGUCAGUACCGAUGAUGAAUGAUAGUGUAACGUCUAACCUUCCACUACUAAUGGGUCAUACAUGCCCGUUCAUUCGAUACAAGGAAAAAAGAGAGAGAGGAGGAGAGUUAGGCAAAACAGGCGAGCAUCGUACGUCCACGAUAUCCGUGGUGCUUGUUCACAUUAUUUGCUCGGAAUAUAAUGGUGACACGUUUCAGAUAAUGAUUGAGACUCUCUGAUGUGAAAAAGGGAAAGAGAAACAGAAAGCUUUAAACGGUGAGAGUGAGGUGCCUAACGAGCACUAUUCAUUAUAUAACAGAAAUGGUAACAAGACAGCGAAGUGUUUGGCAGAAAAUGCUAUUCCUAUUCUACAAGUCCUUCUCAACAAUAAAGCCUUUGUCAUCACUAUUCCUUCCUUUUUGGUGUGGUUUUAUAUUGCGUGCAGUUGCAUCUAAUUUCUAAUGUUAGGCUGCUUAUUUAAUCAUAUGAGGUGGUAGAGUUAGAGCUUCUUAUCGCAGCUAAGGGACUUUAUAAAAAACAAACACAAAAUUUUAGUA